RNAcentral lists this ribosomal RNA (466 nucleotides) under uncultured bacterium. RNAcentral's name for it is "partial 16S ribosomal RNA". It matches the Rfam family "Bacterial small subunit ribosomal RNA", at positions 28 to 507 of the family's 1533-position model. The record is from RNAcentral.
GACGAACGCUGGCGGCGCGCCUAACACAUGCAAGUCGAACGAGCGAGAGAGAGCUUGCUUUCUUGAGCGAGUGGCGAACGGGUGAGUAACGCGUGAGGAACCUGCCUCAAAGAGGGGGACAACAGUUGGAAACGACUGCUAAUACCGCAUAAGCCCACGACCCGGCCUCGGGUUGAGGGAAAAGGAGCAAUCCGCUUUGAGAUGGCCUCGCGUCCGAUUAGCUAGUUGGUGAGGUAACGGCCCACCAAGGCGACGAUCGGUAGCCGGACUGAGAGGUUGAACGGCCACAUUGGGACUGAGACACGGCCCAGACUCCUACGGGAGGCAGCAGUGGGGAAUAUUGCAAAAUGGGGGAAACCCUGAUGCAGCGACGACGCGUGGAGGAAGAAGGUCUUCGGAUUGUAAACUCCUGUUGUUGAGGAAGAUAAUGACGGUACUCAACAAGGAAGUGACGGCUAACUACGUG